GGCGAGGUGGCCGAGCGGUUUAAGGCGGCUGCCCCGAAAGCAGUUAAGCGUGGUUACGCUUCCAGGGUUCGAAUCCCUGCCUCGCCGCCA
Molecule: transfer RNA, 90 nt
Filed under: Pseudomonadota bacterium
Lineage: Bacteria; Pseudomonadati; Pseudomonadota
Also listed under: 1 other name
Description: Proteobacteria bacterium (groundwater metagenome) tRNA-Ser
Rfam family: tRNA
About the family: Transfer RNA (tRNA) molecules are approximately 80 nucleotides in length. Their secondary structure includes four short double-helical elements and three loops (D, anti-codon, and T loops).
Source: RNAcentral